Molecule: long non-coding RNA, 1309 nt
Organism: Camelus dromedarius (Arabian camel)
Lineage: Eukaryota; Metazoa; Chordata; Mammalia; Artiodactyla; Camelidae
Exons: 2
Source: RefSeq, a predicted model, not a curated record
GGAAGCCAGACUAUAAUUAGAAAGUUAUUUGAUUAAUAUGGAGUCAGAACAAGAGGAUUAAAUUCAAUGAUUAGGUCAUUAAACCCUGUACCCCUAUGCUACCAGCUCCACAGAGGGGCUGUUCCUGCCAAGGAGAUUAGAAUCAGCUGUUCCGGCUUGCUUACCUACUCGUUUUUGUUCUUAGCGUGUAAUUUAAUGGUUAAGAGUAGAGGUUUUGGAGUCAAGCCUCUGCCACGAAUCGUGUUGCGCAAACAGCUUACCCUCUACACCUCAGGGUUCUCAGGCUGUAAAAUUGGGAUAAUAAUGGUACGAUUACAGAAUUGCAUCAAGGAUGCAACAAAAUGAUGCAAGUAAAGUCUUUAGCACAGUAUAUAGCACAUAAUAGUUAGCUGUAAAAAAAAAAUUAAUAACCCUUCAGUGGCGGCCAAUCCUGUAAGGACCAAGACCCAAAUCCCUAGGAACCCUUAAAGGCCUCAGUGUGAUUUGGCUGCUACUUCUUCAGCCUCAUCUUGUGCCACAUUCUUCUUUCUGUCUUCUACUUUGGUUUUCUUUUAACAGUUAAACUGAUUGAUUGAUUACUCUCAAAACAAAGCAGAGCUCAUUUUCAUUGACUUACAUUUUUCACAUUGUCCCUUCCUCCCAUUUCUGUCAAGCAGACCCAGGAUUGGUGCUAUGACAGUCCUGGUCUCUGCCCACCGGGAGCUCUAAAUGAGGGGAGAUGCCUGGCUAAUUCCUCCUCAUCCUUCCUGCUCCAGCUCAGCUGCCACUUCCUGGAUGAAGCCUUCAGCUGCCUCCUUCCGGAUGAAAUCUUCACCUACACAGAUUUCUCACAGGGUCCUGUGUUUUCCUACAUGGCACUCAGUGCUGUUUGAAAUUACAUACAGAUCUGGUGAUUAUAUGAUGCAUGUCUCAACUCCCAGUGAGAUCUGUAAGCUCCAUGACAAUAAGAAGAUGAUCAAAUCCUCAACGAUCCCAGUAGAUAGGGCUGGAAGAGUGCAUGGGGUACAAUGAAGACGACGCCGAAGGAGAUAAUAAUGUAACGAUGACAACGUCUGUAAUUUACUGUGACGGGCACUGUUCUAAUGUCCGUGCCUCACAACGGUUUUCGUAAGGCGGAUACUGUUUCUCUUCCUGUUCUGCACAUGAAGGAACUAACGUGUAACGCGUCCAAGUCACACAUCAAAACAGGAGUGGAACCGGGACUUGAGCCUGGCUCUGGGUUCUAAAAUCAUGCUUCUCGUUACAAGUCAAAGGAUAGAUGCCUCACCCUCCCCAAGGUAAUUAACAAUAAAAUUUGGUUUGUAUCUUU